Molecule: ribosomal RNA, 439 nt
Filed under: uncultured bacterium
Lineage: Bacteria
Description: partial 16S ribosomal RNA
Rfam family: Bacterial small subunit ribosomal RNA
Source: RNAcentral
CUACGGGACGCUCCAGUGAGGAAUAUUGCACAAUGGGGGGAACCCUGAUGCAGCAACGCCGCGUGGAGGAUGACGCAUUUCGGUGUGUAAACUCCUUUUAUAUGUCAAGAAAAUGACGGUAGCAUAUGAAUAAGCACCGGCUAACUCCGUGCCAGCAGCCGCGGUAAUACGGAGGGUGCAAGCGUUACUCGGAAUCACUGGGCGUAAAGGAAGCGUAGGCGGGUUGGAAAGUCAGGUGUGAAAUCCCACAGCUUAACUGUAGAACUGCACUUGAAACUUCUAAUCUAGAGUAUGGGAGGGGGAGAUGGAAUUAGUGGUGUAGGGGUAAAAUCCGUAGAUAUCACUAGGAAUACCUAAAGCGAAGGCGAUCUCCUGGAACAUUACUGACGCUAAGGCGUGAAAGCGUGGGGAGCAAACAGGAUUAGAUACCCUCGUAGUC